AGCGAACGCUGGCGGCAGGCCUAACACAUGCAAGUCGAACGGACCCUUCGGGGUUAGUGGCGGACGGGUGAGUAACACGCGGGAACGUGCCUUUAGGUUCGGAAUAGCUCCUGGAAACGGGUGGUAAUGCCGAAUGUGCCCUUCGGGGGAAAGAUUUAUCGCCUUUAGAGCGGCCCGCGUCUGAUUAGCUAGUUGGUGAGGUAACGGCUCACCAAGGCGACGAUCAGUAGCUGGUCUGAGAGGAUGACCAGCCACACUGGGACUGAGACACGGCCCAGACUCCUACGGGAGGCAGCAGUGGGGAAUCUUGCGCAAUGGGCGAAAGCCUGACGCAGCCACGCCGCGUGAAUGAUGAAGGUCUUAGGAUUGUAAAAUUCUUUCACCGGGGACGAUAAUGACGGUACCCGGAGAAGAAGCCCCGGCUAACUUCGUGCCAGCCGCCGCGGUAA
RNAcentral lists this ribosomal RNA (449 nucleotides) under uncultured bacterium. RNAcentral's name for it is "partial 16S ribosomal RNA". It matches the Rfam family "Bacterial small subunit ribosomal RNA", at positions 29 to 523 of the family's 1533-position model. The record is from RNAcentral.